UUCGAUUAAGCCAUGCGAGUCUAAAGGUUUCUUCGGAACCUUGGCGGACUGCUCAGUAACACGUGGAUAACCUACCCUUGGGACUGGAAUAACCCCGGGAAACUGGGGAUAAUACCGGAUAGAUCAGGGAUGCUGGAAUGCACCUUGGUCCAAAGCUCCGGCGCCCAAGGAUGGGUCUGCGGCCUAUCAGGUAGUAGUGGGUGUAACGUACCUACUAGCCAACGACGGGUACGGGUUGUGAGAGCAAGAGCCCGGAGAUGGAUUCUGAGACACGAAUCCAGGCCCUACGGGGUGCAGCAGGCGCGAAACCUUUACAAUGUGCGAAAGCAUGAUAAGGGAACUCCGAGUGCCAGCAUCUAAUGUUGGCUGUCCUUGUGCCUAAAACGCACAAGAUAGCAAGGGCCGGGUAAGACCGGUGCCAGCCGCCGCGGUAACACCGGCGGCCCGAGUGGUAGCCGCUAUUAUUGGGUCUAAAGGGUCCGUAGCCGGUUCGAUAAGUCCUCUGGGAAAUCUGGUUGCUUAACAAUCAGACUGCCAAGGGAUACUGUCGAACUUGAGACCGGGAGAGGUAAGAGGUACUUCAGGGGUAGGAGUGAAAUCUUGUAAUCCCUGGGGGACCAUCUGUGGCGAAGGCGUCUUACCAGAACGGGUCUGACGGUGAGGGACGAAAGCUGGGGGCGCAAACCGGAUUAGAUACCCGGGUAGUCCCAGCCGUAAACGAUGCUCGCUAUGUGUCAGGUACGGUGUGACCGUAUCUGGUGCCGUAGGGAAGCCGUGAAGCGAGCCACCUGGGAAGUACGGCCGCAAGGCUGAAACUUAAAGAAUUGGCGGGGGAGCACUACA
Molecule: ribosomal RNA, 843 nt
Filed under: uncultured archaeon
Lineage: Archaea
Description: bacterial SSU rRNA
Rfam family: Archaeal small subunit ribosomal RNA
Source: RNAcentral